This 339-nucleotide ribosomal RNA is filed under the name uncultured soil bacterium. RNAcentral describes it as "bacterial SSU rRNA". It matches the Rfam family "Bacterial small subunit ribosomal RNA", at positions 26 to 355 of the family's 1533-position model. The record is from RNAcentral.
AGAGUGAACGCUGGCGGUAGGCCUAACACAUGCAAGUCGAACGGCAGCACAGUAGGAGCUUGCUCUUACGGGUGGCGAGUGGCGGACGGGUGAGGAAUACAUCGGAAUCUACCUUUUGGUGGGGGAUAACGUAGGGAAACUUACGCUAAUACCGCAUACGCCCUUCGGGGGAAAGCCGGGGACCAGCAAUGGCCUGGUGCUGAUAGAUGAGCCGAUGUCGGAUUAGCUAGUUGGUGAGGUAAUGGCUCACCGAAGGCGACGAUCCGUAGCUGGUCUGAGAGGAUGAUCAGCCACACUGGAACUGAGACACGGUCCAGACCUCCGUACGGGAGCAGCAGG